This 3138-nucleotide long non-coding RNA is filed under the name Jatropha curcas. Its description in RNAcentral is "long non-coding RNA (JCUR_LNC001555)". The record is from RNAcentral. Lineage: Eukaryota; Viridiplantae; Streptophyta; Magnoliopsida; Malpighiales; Euphorbiaceae.
UGCUUUGUGUCUGUGGUGUUGAUCCUUCGGCUCCUAAGAUAAAGGAAAUUACUUUGAAAGACCCAGAAGGGGUCGAUUGAAGUCUGAGAACAUCUAGCCUAAGACGUUAAAUGAGGGCGUUUAUUGGAAGGCAACCCAAUACUAGGCUUGCCCAAGCCUAUUACUUUCUCUUAUUCCCUUUUGAGUUUUAUUUUUAUUUUUAUUUUUCUUUAAUUUUUGAGUCAUCUUCUUACUGCCCUCCACUAGUAUGACUUAAUUUCUUUUCUGGGUAGGUACUGAAUACCAAAGAGGUUGAAAUUACUCUCUCAUGGUUAAAAUGGUUUUUAAUGGCCAUUUUUACUUUUAUUUUUAUUUUUACCCUUUCAGUAACAGUAACCAUGUUUUUUUUUUUGUCUUUAGUAAUCUCUUUUAUUCCCUUUUUCCUUUUCUCUUAUUUUUUUUUAUUUCCUUUUAACAGUUACCAUAUUUGCUCUUUUUAUUAUUUAAUCUUUUUGUUAGAGAAGUAAGCCAUCCGAACACCAUCAAAAGAAAGAAAAGACAAAACAGAGAGAGAUCGCGAGGGAGAGUGCUCAGUUCUUCACCUAUCGACGGUGCCGAAGUUCUAGAUGCCGCGCACCAAGCAACAGGCUGCCAGACUUCCCAUCGAUCCAGUGCCGCAACUGUCGCAUCCCGACUCGCCAUCGUCAUCUGAGUUGCAAACCAAUUCCAGCGACACAAAUGCGGUGGCUCUCUAUUGCCAGAUACCGCGCUCACAUCUUCCCAUAUCGACAAUGUGCGUCUCACCAACCACCUCGCCACCACUGCCCGUCUCAGGCAACAGAAGCCCAAACCAGUUUCGACUCUUCCUUCUUUAUGGAGACAAACCCAUUCCCAAACCCAAAGGAAUACGGCACUCACGGUUACUACCCCAGCACAAAGAAAAUGGGCCUGCGACUCGAUUUGGUGGAUGAGUUGGAUUCUGAUGAGAUUCCACCCCCACCACCGACUUAGCACAGGUAGCAGCAACCUCCUCCAUAGGGACAUUUCUCCAUCUUUGUCUUUUAUUUUUCUUUCAUUUACUUAUAUGUGUGGAACUCCUUGUACUUGAUUGAUAGUUCCAUGUUGAGGAUAAUGUGAGGAGUAAGUGUGGGGGAGGGGUCUGAUAUUGGACGUGCUUUAUUUGUUUAAUUUUGGUUUAUAUUUUAUAAAGCAUUGAAUUUUUUAGCAUUUUGUCCAUAUUCUAAAAUUUGAUUUAGAUAUUUCUUUUGGCAAGUGCUUUUAAAAUUUAAUAAAUUUUAGUGCUUAUCCCAUGGAAAUUUUGAUUGUUUGAUUGUUUGAUUGUUUGAUGUCUUAACUUAAUUGAUAUUUUCUUUUGACCUCCUAAGAGAAGUUCUUUAUCCUUAAACUGAAUCCUCUGUGUUAGGUUGAAUUUUUGAGAUUUUAAGUAAGGUAAUAGUAAUCUUUAUUAUAGACUUCCCUUUUCUCCAUACUAUUGAUAGCAUCCUUCAUCAUUCUCUUUUGUGUGAAUCAUUUAGGCUUGAGUUAAUUGGUGAAACUGCCAAUUUGCUUAUGCUUAAUUCACUGUUGUGCACAUUUCAAAACUUUGAUUAACCAGUCUGAGGCACUGCUCUUGGUACAUUGCUGCAUGUUUUGGAAGAAUGGAAGGUGCAAAUCGUGAAAAUCGAUAAUGUAAAAGGUGAGCAAUAAAAGAGAACAAAAAAAAGCGGUAAUGCACGUGACUUCUCUAAAGUUACAAACAAAAUAAAAAAAAGAGAAUAAAAGGGAAAUCAAAAAAGCGGUAAUGCACAUGAGUUCUCCAGAGUUUGCAAAUAAAAUAAAUAAAAAAGAUAGAGAGAGAGAGAGAAAUGUGCCUUCCUUUUCUUUCGAAUAUUUGCACCAAAUCCUAGAGUAUUGUGCCUUAGCAGGUUAACACUUAUGUGGCAGGUUAACACUUAUGUCUUGAGGUGCAACAACUUAAGUUUCUAUGGCACCUAAUCUAUUGCAUGUCUAAAAUAUUCCAAGUCUUCAUAUUUUGUAAUUAAAAGGGUGCUUUGAGGUUGCUUUAUACUAGUAUGGAGUUAGGAACAAGUAAUGAGUGAUUAUUACCUUACUUGCAUUUCCACCAAAAUUUUUUUAAUCUUUUGAUAGAGAAUGCUGCAGUAAGGUGAAGUGAACUUCUAUGCGGGGUUGGUUGAGAAUUUUAGUAAUGCUUGAGGACAAGCAUAGGAUAAGUGUGAGGAAAUUUGAUAAACAGUUAAUUUAGCAUAAAAUAUUCUUUGUUUAAAUCUUAUCUAUUAAUCCUUUUUUGUUUAAAUCUUAUCUAUGAGAAUUUUCAUUUGGUUUUCCUUUUUUCUAUAGAUUAUGCUAAAUUCAUUUGGAAAAGAGCUUUAGAGGCCAAUUCUUGGAGUUUUGAAGAAGUUUACCAAGCUAGAGCUAAACUUCUAGGAUGCUCCUAGAAGUUUUCAAGUUAGGCUUGGGCCACUUCAGUGGGGGACACAAGGUGAAGUGAACUUCUAUAUGGGGUUGGUUGGUCAUGCUUGAGGACAAGCAUGGGAUAAGUGUGGGGAAAUUUGAUAAACAGUUAAUUUAGCAUAAAAUAUUCUUUGUGUAAAUAUUAUCUAUUGAUAAUUUUUGGUUUAAAAUAAGAAUUUUCAUUUGGUUUUCUUUUUUUACGUAGAUUAUGCUAAAUUCAUUUGGAAAAGAGCUUUAGACGCCAAUUCUUGGAGUUUUGAAGAAGUUUACCAAGCUAAAGCUAAACUUCUAGGAUGCUCCUGGAAGUUUUCAAGUUAGACUUAGGCAACCUCAGUGGGGGACACAUCCAAAGCAGGUCCAAAACCCCUUGGAAGUUUCCAAGUUAAGCUUGGGCAAACUUAGUGGGAGGCGUAUCUAGAGCUGAUUGGGAUUGAAAUGCUUUGCUGGGUAGAAGGAAAUCAUUUAAAACAACUAUUCCACUAUUUAGGGGAUUAGGAAAGAUACUCAAAUUUGAAUAUUAGAUUUUCUUUUAAUUAUUGGAUUUUCUAAAGAUACUUAUGUUUUAUUUUCCUAGUUCAGGAUUUCCUUCCUUUGUUAUAAAUAGGACCUUAAGUUUAUUGAGGAGAUCAUCUUCUUCUCAUCUUAGAAAAAGCAGUUAUUUUAGGAUUUACUUUUCUUUGUGUUUUC